RNA transcript from Strigops habroptila (Kakapo), 9588 nucleotides. It is a transcript of the gene named ADAM metallopeptidase with thrombospondin type 1 motif 9, with no coding region annotated. Lineage: Eukaryota; Metazoa; Chordata; Aves; Psittaciformes; Psittacidae. The transcript has 40 exons. The record is from RefSeq and is a predicted model, not a curated record.
UUUGCUUACUUUGAGGUUUAUAUUCAUUGUACCAAAUUAAUAAUUUACUGCUAAUGGCUGAGGUUUGUCUGGCUUCACCAGCUAGUUUAGAAGAGCCAGGAGGUGCUGUUUUGCCAGAAGUGGAUUCUGAAUGGAUGUAUUUUAAUGCUUUACCUUCCUGCAGCAAACACUCAUUUGUUCUUUGUCCCAAAGUCAAGUGAAGAAAGUGAAGAACUUUAAAACUAAAGUUUCGGCUUUUGGUUUGAGGAAGGGUAGAAGACAAUGUUUAAUUACAUUGAGCUCUAAAGGUUGUCUUAGAUUUUAAUAGAAAAACUUCCAAAUUGUAAACCAAAAUAAACUCAGAUAAGGACAUAAUCUUUCUUUUCCCUCAGACUGCUUGAAAGAAGGAAAAGCAUCAAUUAUGCAAGAAAGCUCGGCUCUCCUCCCGGCGAGUGACAGGGUCGCUCUUCCCCCAGGACCUUGAAGCCCAGCAGCAGCCGGUGCCGCUCUGCCCGGGCCACUUCGCCUUCUUAAAUCCAUCGGUGGGGAGCAGCGGGGGCCGCGGCUGAGCCCCCGCAUCCCAUCCCAUCCCGUCCCGCGCCAGCGAGGGCUUUUCUUGGCGAAAACCUGCGAUUCCGGCGUUCCUCGGGAAUGAAAGAAAGUGACAUGUUGGAAGUGGGGGGAGAAAGAGAGAGAGGAAGGGCUGUCCCUUCUCCUGCAGGGCGGGAUCUUUCCUCCUGCUUGAUCUAUGGAGCCCGGCCCCUUAAAUUGGCUCCCGGGAGCGCCCCGUCCACCAGCCCGACGGGGGGAGAGGCGGAAAGCGAGGGAGAAGCAGGCAGGCGGGCGGGCGGCCGGAUCCCCCGUCCCGGCCCGUCGGUGUCGGUCCCGGCCCGUCCGCCCCCCGCGCACCAUGCGCGGCCCCCGGCGCCCCGCGCCCCGCCGGCCCGCCCGCCCCUAACGCCGCCCGGCUCCGGCGCCUUCCCCCGGCCGCGCUCCGGGGGGCGGGGAGGGGGGAGAAGGGGGCGAGAAGGAAGAAAAAAAGGAAGGAUAAAAAAAAAGGGGGGUGGGGGAAGGGGAAAGAGAGGAAGAAGAAGGAGGAAAAGAAGAGCCAAGAGAAGUGGGGAAGGCUGCUCUCCUCUGAGGACAGCGCGCAGCACCAUGCAGCUGGCGCCGCUGGCGCUGGCACUCACCACGCUCUUCAUCGACGGCUUGAGGAUAGGAGCGAGGAGGCAGAAGCUGCACCCCAGGCAAGCCAAGCUGCUGGAGAAGCUCAGCGAGUACGAGAUCGUGACUCCUACCCGGGUGAAUGAGUUCGGCGAGCCCUUCCCCACCGAUGUCCACUUCAGGCGGCGGCGGCGGAGCACCAGCGCUGCCCCCGACGCCUGGACGGCCGCCUCCGCCGCCUCCCCCAAGGCACACUACAGGCUCUCCGCCUUCGGGCAGCAGUUCCUCUUCAACCUGACGGCCAGCUCGGCCUUCAUCGCCCCGCUCUUCACCGUCAGCCUCCUGGGAGAGCCCACCGCCGACCAGCGGCGCCUGUACGCCGAGGCGGCCGACGCCGACGUGAAGCACUGCUUCUACCGGGGGCACGUCAACGCCCGCCCGCGGCACACCGCCGUUAUCAGCCUCUGCUCCGGGAUGCUAGGCACCUUCAAGUCUGACGAUGGGGACUAUUUUGUAGAGCCACUGCUAUCGCUUGAAGAACAGGAGUAUGAAGAAGAACACAAUAAACCACAUCUAGUCUACCGACACCGGACACCUCCAAUGAACUCUUCGGGGGACAGGCAGACUUGCGAUACUCCAGAUCAUGAACACAGUCACAAAAAGAACAAGCAGAAACACUGGAGAAGACAGUGGGCAGAAAGCACCCUAUUAUCAGACGUGGAGAUGUUGAAACACAGUCUGGAAGUGAAUUCGUUUCCUGCAGAUAGGAACAAGACUGGGAACAUCAGUGAAAAGAAGAGCCACAAGCGGACAAAGCGGUUUCUCUCCUAUCCUCGGUUUGUGGAAGUUAUGGUGGUGGCUGACAGCAGGAUGGUCGCCUACCAUGGAGCUAAUCUACAGCACUAUGUCUUAACGUUAAUGUCAAUAGUCGCUUCUAUCUACAAAGACCCAAGCAUUGGAAAUUUGAUUAAUAUUGUUAUUGUGAAAUUGGUGGUGAUACAUAAUGAACAGGAUGGUCCUGCAAUAUCUUACAAUGCCCAGACAACACUAAAAAACUUCUGCCAGUGGCAGCAAUCCCAGAACCAUCCUGAGGGGAGUCACCUUCAACAUGAUACAGCCGUGCUUGUUACCAGACAGGAUAUUUGUAGAGCGCACGACAAAUGUGAUACUCUGGGUCUGGCAGAGCUGGGCACAGUUUGUGACCCGUACAGGAGCUGUUCGAUUAGUGAAGAUAACGGACUGAGCACUGCUUUCACAAUAGCACAUGAACUUGGCCAUGUAUUUAACAUGCCACAUGAUGACAAUCAUAAAUGCAAAGAAGAUGGAGGUAAAAAUCAACAGCAUGUCAUGGCGCCAACACUGAACUUCUACACCAAUCCCUGGAUGUGGUCAAAAUGCAGUAGAAAAUACAUCACUGAGUUUCUGGACACUGGUUACGGGGAAUGUUUGCUUGAUGAACCUUCAUCUAGAACUUACACGUUGCCUCAGCAGCUCCCGGGGCUGAUUUAUGAUGUCAACAAACAAUGUGAGUUAAUUUUUGGACCUGGAUCUCAAGUGUGCCCAUACAUGCAGAUGCAGUGUCGGCGACUUUGGUGUAUCAACAUUGAUGGCGCACACAAGGGAUGUCGUACCCAACACACACCUUGGGCUGACGGGACAGAAUGUGAGCCCGGAAAGCACUGCCGGUUUGGGAUGUGCGUGCCCAAAGAGCGAGAGGCACCAGUGAUAGAUGGAGCAUGGGGGACUUGGAGCCCUUUUGGGACCUGCUCGAGAACCUGCGGCGGUGGCAUAAAGACGGCAAUACGGGAGUGCAACAGACCUGAGCCUAAAAACGGUGGGAAAUACUGCGUGGGGCGCCGCAUGAAGUUUAAAUCCUGCAACACCGAACCAUGCUCAAAGCUGAAGAAAGAUUUCCGGGAUGAGCAGUGCGCUGACUUCGAUGGGAAGCACUUUAACAUCAAUGGGCUGCCCACAAACGUGCGCUGGGUUCCCAAAUACAGCGGCAUCCUGAUGAAGGAUCGGUGCAAGCUGUUCUGCCGAGUGGCAGGAAACACGGCGUAUUACCAGCUGCGGGAUCGAGUGAUUGAUGGGACGCCCUGUGGCCCCGACACCAAUGAUAUCUGUGUGCAGGGACUUUGCCGGCAAGCUGGAUGCGAUCAUGUGCUGAAUUCAAAAGCGAGAAGAGAUAAAUGUGGUGUUUGUGGUGGGGAUAAUUCUUCAUGCAAAACUGUUGCAGGCACAUUUAACACGGUGCACUAUGGCUAUAAUGUUGUGGUCCGCAUCCCAGCUGGUGCAACUAAUAUUGAUGUGCGUCAGCACAGUUACUCAGGGAAGCCAGAGGAUGACAACUACCUGGCCUUAUCUAACAGUCAAGGAGACUUUAUAUUAAAUGGAGACUUUGUCGUCAGUAUGUUUAAAAGGGAAAUCAAAGUUGGGAAUGCUGUGAUCGAAUACAGCGGAUCGGAUAAUACUAUUGAAAGGAUUAAUUCUACAGAUCGGAUUGAGCAAGAAAUAACACUUCAGGUUUUAUCAGUGGGCAAUUUGUACAAUCCUGAUGUUCGUUACACGUUUAAUAUCCCCAUUGAGGACAAACCUCAGCAGUUUUACUGGAAUGCAUAUGGCCCGUGGCAGCCCUGCAGUAAGCUCUGCCAAGGAGAACGAAAGAGGAAACCUGUGUGUACAAGAGAGUCGGAUCAGCUCACGGUGUCAGACCAGCGAUGUGAUCGAAUUCCCCAGCCUGACCCCAUCAUGGAGCCUUGUAGCACAGAAUGUGAAUUAAGGUGGCACAUCGCGAGGAAGAGCGAGUGCACGGCCCAGUGCGGGCUGGGGUACCGCACCCUGGAGAUCUACUGCUCCAAGUACAGCAGGCUGGAGGGGAAGAUAGAGAAGGUCGACGACCGGUUCUGCAGCAGCCAGCCCAAGCCCAGCACGAGGGAGAAGUGCACUGGAGACUGUAACGUGGGAGGGUGGCGGUACUCAGCCUGGACUGAGUGCUCCAAGAGCUGCGGCGGGGGCACGCGGCGGCGGCGAGCCAUGUGUGUGAACACCUACAAUGAUGUUCUGGAUGACAGCAAAUGCAGCCAGCAGGAGAAGCUGACGGUGCAGCGAUGCAGCGACUUCUUGUGCCCCCAGUGGAAGACUGGCGACUGGUCCGAGUGCUUGGUGACCUGUGGAAAGGGGCACAAACACCGCCAGACCUGGUGCCAGUUUGGAGAAGAUCGAUUAAAUGACAGGUUUUGUGAUCCUGAAACGAAGCCAGAGUCAGUGCAGACAUGCCAGCAGCAAGAGUGUGCUUCGUGGCAAGUGGGGCCGUGGGGCCAGUGCACGACGACUUGUGGCCAAGGCUACCAGAUGAGAGUGGUGAAGUGUGUUGUGGGCACCUACGUGUCAGUGGUGGAUGAUAACGAGUGCAAUGCUGCAACCAGGCCAACAGAUACCCAGGACUGUGAAAUAGCAGCAUGUCCUCCCCAUCCAAAUAGUCCUGAAGCCAAGAGAUCCCUAUCAGGCAUUCACAGGACGCAGUGGAGAUUUGGAUCCUGGACACCGUGCUCCGCAACAUGUGGGAAGGGUACCCGGAUGAGAUAUGUCAGCUGUCGGGAUGACCAAGGCUCAGUGGCUGACGAGUCAGCCUGUUUCCACCUCCCGAAGCCAUCAGCCACAGAAAUGUGCACCGUGACACCAUGCGGGCAGUGGAAAGCCUUGGAGUGGAGCUCUUGCUCGGUGACUUGUGGUCAAGGUAAGGCAACGCGACAAGUGAUCUGCAUCGAUUACAGUGACCAGCUGGUGGAUAGGAGCGAGUGCGAUCCAGACGACCUCCCUGCCACUGAGCAAGACUGCUCCAUGUCUCCUUGUCAUCCAAACAGCCAUGACUACGGCAGGCCCAUCCACCCUUUCCUCUAUCCGGAUCAUCGCCUGAAACUGCACCCUGGAGGCAGCCCGAACCGAAACCGUGCACAUGUACCAGGAGGCAAUCAAUGGAGGAUUGGUCCCUGGGGUGCUUGCUCUAGCACAUGUGCGGGGGGGUUCCAGCGGCGGGUCGUGGUGUGCCAGGAUGAAAACGGAUACACCGCAAAUAACUGCGAUGAGAAAAGCAAACCCAUGGAGCAGAGAUCAUGCGAAUCUGGCCCCUGUCCUCAGUGGGUUUAUGGCAACUGGGGAGAGUGCACGAAGCCAUGCGGGGCAGGGACAAGAACACGGCUGGUGGUGUGCCAGCGCCCUAACGGAGAAAGGUUUACGGAUCUGAGCUGUGAAAUCCUUGACAAGCCACCAGACAGAGAGCAGUGCAAUGUGCAGGACUGUCCUAGAGAUGCUGCCUGGAGCGCUGGUCCUUGGAGCUCGUGUUCUGUCUCCUGUGGAAAGGGCCAAAAGCACCGCAGUGUAUACUGUUUGUCGAAGGAAGGGAGGCAUGUAGAAGAAGAUUAUUGCAAGCACCUUGCUAAGCCCAACGUGCAAAAGAAAUGCAGAGGGGGCAGAUGUCCGAAGUGGAAAGCAGGAGAUUGGGGACAGUGCUCAGUGUCCUGUGGCCAGGGUGUCCAGAGCCGCACCGUGCACUGCCACAGCGGCACCCCGAAGGCAGCCGAGGAAGCAGAGUGUGACCCAUCCAGCCGUCCCCCUCCACAGCAGGACUGCCACCUCCCUGAGUGCCCCACGCACCGCUGGGCAGCCGGCGAAUGGCAAGCGUGCAUGAAGACAUGCGGGGAAGCAUCCCGGUACCGCAAGGUGGUCUGCGUGGAUGAGAACAAGCAACCACAGAACAGCGGCUACUGCGACGCCAGCAAACGCCCUCCCGAAAUCGAGAGCUGCGGGCUGCCGCCCUGCGAGUACGUCUGGAUCACCGGAGAGUGGUCGGAGUGUUCCGUUACAUGCGGGAAGGGAUACAAGCAGCGCCUCGUGUCCUGCAGUGAGAUUUACACCGGGAAGGACCACUAUGAGUACGGGUACCAGAACACAGUCAACUGUCCUGGCACGCAGCCACCCAACAUCCAGCCCUGCUACCUCGGGGAGUGCCCCGUCUCAGCAUCCUGGCGCGUUGGCAACUGGGGAAGCUGCUCUGUCACCUGUGGAGUUGGAGUCAUGCACCGCUCAGUGCAGUGCUUGACGAACGAUGACCAGGUCAGCAGCUUGUGCCAUGCAGAUCUGAAGCCUGAAGAGAGAAGGACAUGCCACAACGUCCAUGACUGUGAAUUACCAAGGAGUUGCAAAGACAUUAAAAAUCUCAAAGGUGUCAUUGAAGAUGGCGAAUAUUUCCUUCAAGUCAAAGGGAAGACAUUAAAGGUGUAUUGCUCUGGGAUGCAGACUGACAGCCCCAAGGAGUACGUGACCCUUGUAAAUGGGGAUGAAGAGAAUUUUUCAGAAGUGUAUGGAUACAGAAAGGGUUUUCUUUUGAUUUAGAUUGCAUAACCCGACUGAAUGUCCAUAUAACGGGAGCAGACGAGAAGACUGCCAGUGUAGGAAAGAUUACACAGCAGCUGGGUUUUCCACCUUCAGCAAAGUAAGGCUGGACCUGAACACUAUGCAAAUAAUAACGACUGAUUUACAGUUUGCACGGACACAUGAUGGACGACCUGUUCCUUAUGCCACUGCUGGGGACUGCUACAGUGCAGCCAAAUGCCCACAGGGUCGCUUCAGCAUAGACCUUUAUGGGACAGGCCUGUCCUUAACGGGAACAGCAAAGUGGCUCUCACAAGGGAAUUACGCUGUGUCGGAAAUCCAGAAAUCCCCAGAUGGUACCAAAGUAGUAGGAAAAUGUGGCGGUUACUGUGGGAAGUGUACUCCAUCAUCUGGAACGGGCCUUGAUGUUCAGGUGUUAUAACCAUGGAUGUCUUUGAGCAGUCAGCGGAGAUGAGACGGAUGAAGGAUAGCGAUGCAAUACCUCUGCCUUCCACUUUUUUAUCUGUUUAUGUGUGUAUAUAGAUCGCAUAUUCUUAAUGUACAGUAUAAUAUUUAUGUUUGGAAUUAUUUAUUUUGAUUUAAUAUUUUUGUACGUAAAAUCAUUAUAUUAAGGCUGCUUUUCCUAUUUUUAUUUUUUAUUGUUAAAUCCUGCAGUCAAACCACUGCAUUUUGCGUACUCUACAUUAUAUGUAGCAUUAUGACAAGUGAUACUUUAUUGUCACUGUAUUCAGUUGUUUACUUUCAAUCAGUAAUUUUCCUUCAGUUAUGGGCUGCUUUUGCCCUCUACGGUGCUACACAAUCUGCAUAGGGGUAUUUUUGGCAUUUCAAUCUGUCUUUAUGUAAGGAAAAUAGACAAGAUGUGCUUAAAUUUUAUUUUUAGGGAUUAGGCCAACAGCACUUGAGGAAAACAGGACAAUGAAUACAGUGCUAGUUGCAUUAGCAAUCUUUAUCUUUUAGGUAUGUUUUGAAUUUCACAUGACCUCUGUGGCCAGUGCUAAAAGCGCUGGUUUGGUGCUAACAUGAUAUUUAUUAAUGCUCUGUAGUUUUAGUUAAUCCAGUGCCUUUAUCAGUGAAAAAGGGAAGAAAGCAGAAAAAUUGUCAGGUUCAAAUAAACUAAGAUCUGCCCCAGGUUUAGGAAAAUUCCUGCAGAUGGAUCUUCAGCUCAAGCCCCCCCCCUUUUUUUUUUUGUAGGGCUCUGAAGUGAACUUGCUUUUUAAAAACCGUAUCUUUGUCUCCUAAUUGCAUGUGCCACUGUGCUUCCUGCUCCAUCUGGAAGCGGGGUAUUAACUCAUCCCAGACAGGCUGAUCAGGCCAUAUGUUUCCCUGGGCUGUGUGCUGAGAAGUGAUGUGGGUUCUUAUGGAUGUUGUCACAAAACCCUAACAGGAAGCUGAAAGCAUCCCUGCCAUGUUAUCUCCCACGGGGCCGGUGUGGACCGCGGGGGAUGUGGGACAGCAAGCCCAGCCAAACCGCCCCUUCCUCUUGGCCAGGGGACUCCAUUGCAGGCACCUGCAACAUUUCCCCAGCUUCCUACUCACUCCCAGACCAUCUGCAAAGGGAAGCUUCAGCCUUAUUUCAACAAGAUCACUCUGUACUUAGAGAUAACUCUGCCCCCCCCCCUUCAAAAACAAGCUGCUUUACGCCUACUUCUGUAUUGCUUCGGAUCUUCCUGGUAAGGCAUCUGUGCUCCUUGCCUAUUUGCCAUCCCAUGUACAACCAGACCUUUAGCAUUGGCUUUUUUAUAUACAUAUAUAUAUAUAUAUAUAUGUAUAAAUUGAGGAGCCAUCUCCCAUAGGCAACGCACGUGGCUGUGCGAUGGCUCCUGCCUGUACAUAGCACGCCACCUUUGCGCAGAGCUUCGUAGCACGUUGAACGGGGGUGAUGUGACCAGAUUAUUUUUGUAGUCUAUGACUAUGUCCCUUAUCUCUUUCUCCACAAUUUUACUUAGUGAUAGUAAGAUGCUCCUAUGUCAGGGCAGCCAGGAGCACAAAGUACAAGGAAAGGAAGCUUUUCAGCACAAAAUUGCCAGCAGUUUGGAAAACCAAAGAGGCUUAUCUGCUACUUCAGAUAACUCUUUCGAUUUUGGAUGCAAAUAGUUAACAAACACAACCUCAGGAUCUUGUGUGAGUCUUUCGCGGAGCUCCCCAAAGGAUGUGUAAUCAGUCUGUUACAAAACAGUUGGAUCAAUAGGGACAAAUGAUCCAAUCCCUGGAUUCAUACCCCAUGUGCACUGGGCUGUGUUCAGCCUUCAGAGUGAAACCUGUCGGCCAGCCUUACAGACAGAUAUCAACACAUCCGUACCAGCUGGGAGACAUCUCGCAGGUGAGCAGCGCUGUGUUACAGUCCAGCAGCUACAGAACUGGUGAAAGAAAAAGGGAAAAAGGAACGGGAAAGGGGAAAAGGGAAAGAGAAAGAGGCAAAAAGGGAAAGGGGAAAGGAGUAGUAAUGGAAAAGUGAUUUGUUUUUAAAUGAUAAUUCCUUAUGUAUAACUUCCGCAGGGGAAAAGGGAAAAUUGCACUAUGAACUUUAGAAAGAAACAGUGGUGCUUAGAAAGUACAGGCUUAUUAUAUUUUCUCUAAUUAAGUGAAUGGCUAUUUAUAAAAAGAAAUACUAUUUUGACCUGUACACAUUCAUUUCUACCAUAUAGUUUCAUAGCAGCUAUUAACAGAGCAAGAGAAACCUAAAAGAAUAUUAAAUAAACUAUAAGGGGAAAAAAAAAGGAUAAAGCACUGAUCCUGUGGUUCAUUAAAGGGCUUCAUUAAAUAGGAACAGACUUUGAGGACCAGAGACAUUAGACAUUUCUUGUUCAGGAAACAACUCUGGGGGUUUUUUAUAUCAAUGUUAUUAUUUUUCUACAAACUGAGGUAUUUUUUGCAAGCACUUUCCUGUACAGUGUUUCUUUUCUCUCUGCUUGUACUCAAAAGGAAAUGAAAAGACCCAUAAGACAUGUCUGUAUGGUCUUUCUGCAUUUGCCAUUGUAUUUCAAUACCUGUGUGCUAUUAUAGAGGCAAAAUACUUUGUACACGAGGGAAUAAUACAUUGAAUGGUAAACAUUC